UUUUACAGCAAUCUCUUGCCCAUUGUGCAGCUGACCCUUGUACACUGUGCCAAAACCACCCCGUCCGAGUCUGUUAGCUGGACUAAAAUUGUUAGUGGCAGUAGAUACAGUGCGUAGGUUGAAAAAUGGCAAAUCUGUGUAUUCCCUAUUUUCUAAAAGCUCAUUUCCCACCAUUGUAGGAAAUAAUCCUUUCCUUUUCUCUCCCAUUUUCUUCUUCUUCCUUAGCCACAAAAAGGCAAAUAUGGCAAUGAUAAAUAUUGUGAAAGCAGCAGAUAAUACUGGAAUGGCCAACACCCUUUUCUUUUUGAGAAAACUUCUCUUCUUUGCAUACUCAGCCAACUCAAUGCCAUCCACACGAACAUGCAGAUACGUCCCGCUGACUACUGCAUCGUGUCCAUUAAUUUCCCCUAACAUGUCCACCAGCCUACUCCUUUCCUCCCUAUGUCUAAGCUUGCAAAUGCUUUGCAUGAACAAUUAGCCAAGCACAGUUGCUUACACUCUGUCCUACUCAAACUUGUGUUCAUCAAAGCUGCUAUUGAAGUAUCAGGAACCUUCAAUUGCCCUACCUUAACAAACCCUUCUCCACUUCUGCACAUUGACAUUAUUUGCUGUCGCUUACUUACUUACUUCAAUGUACUAAGCGCACCGCAAUGUCCGUAGAUGUACUUUGGCUCCGAACGGGAUGCCCUCCUUUAAUAGGUACUGACUCUGUUGUCCCAACUCCCAAGUAAGCGGCUGGAUCAAUGCAGAGGUUUUAACCAGAAUUCAUAUGGGUACAUUUUCAUCAAACUCUGAAAGGAAAGAGGAGUACAUCUCAUUUGGAUUGUUAAUAGAUUUAUACGAAUAACCGGCCACUGGUGAAGAUUCCCAGGGCCAUGGGGAUCUUCUUCAAUACGGAAUUAAACCGUUGUGCUAAAA
This 918-nucleotide unclassified non-coding RNA is filed under the name Hevea brasiliensis (rubber tree). The record is from RNAcentral. Lineage: Eukaryota; Viridiplantae; Streptophyta; Magnoliopsida; Malpighiales; Euphorbiaceae.